UACAAUACAAUUCUAAUUAAUGAUAAUAUAAAAUCUGUUACUUCUAAAACUAUACACUAUUUAUUCCAUUUUUUGAAUGAAAGUAUCUUCGUAAACACACAAAAUAUUUUGUGACGUUGCAAUUAUACAUACACACAAUAUCUGCCUCUUCAUACUGACGUUACUGUAUUCUCUCUCGUGAGGUACGGACCGAGAGAGAACACAUGGUGCGGACCGAUCAUGUUCUUAUGCCCGUACAGGGUACGGACCGGUCAUCUAAUUUUAAAUAUAUAUAGAAGGUUACCGCAAAACAUUUGAACCACAUGGUCCUAAUUUUCUCUGGUAUCAGGGUCCAACUCGGAUGUCUAGAGCCUAGGGGUUUGGUCUGAGAAAUCCUUUCUAUCAUCAAUCACUUUCAUAUUUAUGGUAAGACGGAAUAGUCUUUGAUCAUGUCGGAAAUGCUUUGUGACACACGACCAUUAAGUCCAAACCUAAAAAAUAAUAUUAACUUGUUAGAGAAGUUAAUAUUCUAAAUCUAAUAAUAUAAAUCAUAAAAGUCAUAACUAAUAAAAGUUAUGAUCAAGGUCAACAUUGGUCACGACGAAAUCAAUGGCAAAAAUAUUCUGAAAAAAAUACCUCAAAUAAAUAUGAACCGCAAAUGUCGAGGAAACUACACCACAUAAGCCGGGCCUAUUUAAAUAAGAUGUGAGAACAAAAUUUUCGUAUAUUUCAUCACCAAAAAUCCUAUUUAUGCAAAAAUAUAGUUUCCGUCAAAACCGUAAAAACACACAUUUUUGCCAAAACCAUAAAACACAUCUUUGGCCGAAACUGUAAAAAUACACUUUUCGGCCAAAACCGUAAAAAUACUCUUUGCUAUCAAAACAGAAAAAAAACACACAUUUUAUAUCAAAACCGUAAAACAUACUUUUCAACUAAAAUUGUAAAAUGCACUUUUAAAGCCAAAAGCGUAAAUAUGCAUUUUCCCUUAAAAACCGUAAAAUGCACUUUUUAGCCAAAACUUUUAAAACACACUUUCCAUCAAAGCUGAAAACGCACUUUCCCAUCAAAACAAAAAAAAAAAUGCACUUUUCCGCCAAAAUUGCAAAAAUGCACUUUCCUGUCAAAACCAUAAAACGGACUUUUCCGCCAAAACAGUAAAACACACUUUUCCGCCAAAACUGCGAAAAACACAUUUUUCUACUAAAAUCGUAAAACACACUUUUCGGUUAAAACCCGUAAAAAAAAAUACUUUUCUGCCAAAUCCGUAAAAAAAAACUUUCCAUAAAAGAUAUCAACUUGAAAGUGUUGGGAAAUUGAUUGCAUCUUCAGUUUCUCUCUGUGUUUAUCCUGAUUGUAGGCUUCAUGGAUCCGUAAAAGAUCGCUCUUGAAGUCCAUAAUUUAUUUUGGUGCAUGCCACUUUUUGUUGGGCUGAAAUCCACUUCUAAAGACCGAUACUUGCAGAUAGACAUGCUGGAAGCAUUCCAUUUUGUAAACUCCAUAACUCCUGUCCGUGAAUCUUUUUUGGUAAUUUCAAGUCGCGGUGAUGCACUGAUUAGUUGCUUGCUCUGAAAAUUGGUUUCUUGGCAAAAUCUUUCCGGUUGUCCAGAUAUUCUCCUUAGACUGAACCUCUCUCACUAGUAUCACCUAAAUGGUUGGGGUUGUCAGUUUUUUUAGACUCUGGCCGAGCCACAAAUUUGAGGACCACAAAACUAUGAUGACCGCAAGGGGAGGAUGUCGGAUGAGCCAAAGGACCAGGAGCAGAUAAUCACAUAGGGAUUCGUGCGGUAAAAAGUGGGGGAUUAGCCAAAUCAAUGAGCCGCAUGUGAUUAGGUCCUAAAGGUCUAGGCUGAUUGAUGCAUGCUAGGUGAUAUUAAAUUAUGACUUGUUCUUACUAUGUUUCUUGGUUUGAGAUGAGUUUGUAAGUUUUUGAAUCCGUCCUCUCUGAGUAAUUACUCCCUUCUAUUUUUUUGCAGGUUUGUUCGAGAAGUUGUAGAAGUAUAAUUACUGAUGUGGUGUUACAUCUUUGGAAAACCUAGACCGGGAGAACAUAUGUCACAAUAUUAGCAUAUAUAUAUUUGGGUAAUUCUCUCAGAUGACAAUAACAUAGGUUUGUUCACUAAAAGAGCCAACAAUGAGAAAAGUGACCAAAUGAAGUUUCAUUAAAGAAAAAAAAAUUUUCUAACCUUAUUUUAUCGACAUUUAAAUAAUAAUAAAAAUUAAAAAAUAUUUUUAUUAUUUUUGAAUACUAUGUUUUUGAAUUUGAACUUUUUCAAAAAAAAUUCAAAUAUGUUUUUCAAAUUUUUAUUUUAAAAUCCAAUCUUUUCUGUUAAAACUAUUUUUUAAAUUUUUAGUAUUAUUAUUAUUUUUUUAAUAAUCUUAAAUCCUACCUUCCCCUAAAACCUCACCCCCUCAAUCUAAACCACAAAUUUAGAUUAGUUAGUCAUAUGGAUAUAAUUGUUUAUUUACUUCCUUAACAAAACAUUUUGAUCAUUUAUAUUCGUGGUUAAAACAAAAUUUGUGGUUAUCGAAUUUCUCUAUAUAUUUAUUCUAUGUACGAGCAUCAUCUUUAUAUAUAAAAGAAGCUUUGUUUCUCUCCCAGAUAUGCCAACAAGGAUGCCAGCACAACAAUUCAUGAGCUCCUGUUGUGACACGUAUGAAACUCAUCGUUUCAUUUAACUGAAUCAUGAUGGGCUUUAAUCUGUUCCGGUGGGUUUCAUUAUUCAGACAGAACUGACCAGCCCGAUAGAGAGAUACCAGUUCCUUCGUGAAGCCAUCUUCGAAAACUAGGGUUUCAUCUUCUUCUAACAAUGGAGAUUCAGCAUGUCUUUAUUGACGAAGCGGCGUGAAGAGAAUCUUUGUGUGGAGUCGUUAGCGUCGAAUCGUCUUCCGUUCAUCCCCUCUAAGACGUUACGAGAUCUCUUAAUUAAUGGUCUUUAAGGAACAUCUUAACUCCAUCGAUGCAUAUCAAGCACGACGAUCCAUUCCAUGAUAAUUAUCACAGUUCUAGGCGGUGAUUGUCCAUUUAUAAAAAACCGGUCUCUAUUUUUCCACCAUCUUAGUGCGGCUGCUGAGAUUCUGGUGGUGCGGCUGGGAACCUAGGAACUCCAGACGCGGUGGGGAAUUGAUGGGUGCGGACAUGUUUCUACUUGAUGCUAAGUUUAUAAGGUAACCGUCAUGCCAGCCACAUUGAAUGUUCACCGCCACUUCAGGCAACGUCUGACGGCUGAUUAAAUGUUAACACUGAGAGGGUUUGAUGUGGUUCCGUGCAAUAAGAACUUCAGGCUGUCCGAUUCUCUUCUGGCGAUUUGGUUCAGAAGACAAGACACAACCUGUGAAGAUCAGUCCAUGUUCUCUUUUGCGUUACAAUGCAGAAGAAGUUUCAUAGGCAGAAGCAAGGAAUAAAUUCAAAACUAUCUAGCCUGUGGCGAGAAAGGAACAUCCGUUUGUUGGGUCACAAGCAAGAAGCAUCGGCCUUAUAAUGUUCCCAGCAAAAUUUGAAGCUGUUAACAGUAACGGGAAACAGGGAAGGCAAACCAAGCGCUUACGGUUACCAGCAGAACCUCUGAUGAAUGUUCAGACAAGAGUAACUCAGGGCUAGCUCCUCUUCAGCUAGACGCAAUAGCAGCUUAGAAUCACACGACAUUCACCCUUUUAUAGAGUGUUGUCUGAAGCAUCAGGGUCGUGCAGCUCAAUGGGUUUUCUUCAGCGGUUGGUUUGAUGGGUCUGAAGAGAGGACAGCACCGAUAACAAUUCAUGAUGAUGAUGAUGCCAUUGUCAAGGUCUACAAGUGAUAGCUACGAUGCUUCUGGUGGAGAAGACUGUAAUCAGUUUACUUAUAGAAACAUCCGCAAAUCAAGAUACGAAGUACAAUGAUAAUCACAGAAUUCUUGAGGCAUUCUUUGAUAUAUGGCUGGUCGUCUCAUGCAAAUGGAUUGGUCAAGAAAAGUCUUUAACAUUCACAGAAAUAAUAUUUAUGGAACUCUUGCAGUGUUUGCAAGGAACGAGAAGCAUCUGUUGGGAAAAAACAGGGGAAGCCUUUUGUGUAUUCCUAAGAUUUUUAUUGUUCAAAUGCUUCUUUUGUUGGUGUCCGUUGUUGGCCACCAUCUGAAAUGUUCUAUCUCUUGACGUAACGAUGUUAUUUGUUUUGUUGCGUAGAGACCUUUAAUCUUUUGGUGUUAUGAAAUCCUUUUAUUAUUU
Molecule: long non-coding RNA, 4176 nt
Organism: Brassica napus (rape)
Lineage: Eukaryota; Viridiplantae; Streptophyta; Magnoliopsida; Brassicales; Brassicaceae
Exons: 3
Source: RefSeq, a predicted model, not a curated record